AAGAAAGGGUAAGAGUUAUGUUAUGUUUAUGCUAUUGUUAAUGAAAGUGGCAAAUAGUUCCCACUGGUUCAUGUUGUAAGAAGUGGGCAACAGGUGGCCACAAGGGAACCAUACAAAGUGGUGAACAAAAGCCAGGAAUUUUAUAUCCUUAAAUCCUUAAGGAACCAACCAUUUCCCUUCACUUGUCACUCUGAAUCAGUGAACAAGGUCCUACUUAUUACUAAACUGAAUUUCUUGGCUCAAAUUUUAGAUAUUUUUCAGAUCAACAUUUUUUUUACACAAUGCAUAUUUCUAUCAAUAAUUUCCAAACAAUUAAAUUACAAUAUAAACACAUUCAAAUUCACUUUUGGAUUUCCUGAUUAGGGACACUGAUUUUGUCUAGAAAAUGACAAGCUUAAUGGGCUUCUAAAGUGUUUCAUACAGCCCAUAGUCAAGAAAAAGCUCAACCCUAUAUGUUAGAAUUAGAUGGAUAAGAAUAAGAAUAACCUAACUUUGACUUCAGUAAUUAAUUUACCGCUCCAAUUGUGCACUGGGGGAAAAAAGUUUUUGAAGCACCUAUCUAGAAAAUGACAACUUCCAAUUCCAGUUUUUCAUAGGAAAACUUGGUCUACAAUAUGACAACUUAAUAUUCAAUUUCAAAUGCAUUUAUAUCCCUAUGUUAUGGCGUUACCAAACUUCAUGUGAAUGUCAUUUACAAUGAUUUCUUAAAUAUAUUAUAUUUAAUUUCAAAAUAUAUUAUAUUUAUGUAUCAGAGGUUUAAUUAUUAAAUUAUGUCAUAGAAUGAAAAUUUAAUUUUUUAUAAAAUAUAUAAUGUUAAAAGAAAGUGCUUUUGAACCACAUGGUUAGAUGAGAUGGUAAAGGCCUCUCCUACUUUAAUUAGUGGUCAAGAGUUUGAUCAUCGCCGUAGGUAUGGAAUAACUUUAAAACUUGUAGUCAGUGUCUAUCCCUUUAAUGGGCCUACAAAACGUGAGAAUUGAUUAUCAGACUCACUUUAGUGAGUAUCUUGGGAGACCAAAAAAAAAACUCUUGUGUCUCCAGGACUAUUAGGGUAUCUAAUCUCAUUCGCUCUCCUAGCUUUCGUCUCUUAGUGUUAGUGUCGGCCCAGCAGUGUGCUUUCGUCGUUGGUGUUCUUUCCGAUCUCUACGCAUUUCACUGCUCCACCGAAAAUUCCCUCUACCCCUACCGUACUCCAACUUGGUAGUUUCCACCGCCUGUCUAGGGCUCAACCCUAUAGGAAAAUAAAAUAAUUCAACUAUUUCUUGGUCCAGAAAGAUAAAAACCUUUGUUCUUUUUUUUUUUUGAAAAAAAUGGAAGUAUUGUUGAGUGUUAGAGCUUCAGUAAUUGCAUUAGUACUGACUUGUUGUCACUUUUAUAUUAUUUAUAUCUUUUAAAAUUACCUUAGUCGAUACUUGUGUUAAACAUGGCUUAUGAUUAUGGUUAUGGGAAAUAUGAAAAUCAUAUCAUAUCCAUGUACUCUAUCCGACGCUUAGUUCAAAGCGUCUUCCAUAGUAUCAUCUUUUAGCCAUGGAUCAUAACUUUCAUGAUAAUUUUCAAACCUAAAUAUGUUUCUUUCAUAAAAUUGAAAGGGUUAAUUUAGUAAGAAAUGGCGGAAAGUAAAAACCAUGAGCCCAAUAUUCUUACAUAAUUCAUCAAAGUGACAAUCCAGACUCUUCACCCUCUUCAAGACUAGAAACAUAGAAAAAAUACAAUGCCCAAAUCAAACCAAACACUCCAAAAAGGAUUCAUCCCAGAAGGUUGUUACUUAAGCCAAAAGGAAGUCCUGUUCCUUCCGUGGAAAGGCUCUCAUCCACCAACGCCAUUGCCGGUGUAGCAGUCGUUGUCACCGCUGCAGCUGCCACUGCCGCCAUCAUUGAUGCCACCAUUCUGGGGUUCGAGCUCAGCCUGUUUGAAGAUGACUUCUGCUCUAGACUGCACCUAGCCCUACCAUUUGUUGCCAUCACAGGCAAUCCUAAACAUGCAUGAGAAUGUAAAAUCCAGUUUUAAAGACAAAGCAAAUACCCAUUGAAGUAUAAAAUACACCUGCAUCUUUGAUUUCCAGUUCUUGAAUCAUCCGAUAUCGCAAUUUAGGCUUAAGAAAAUUGGAAACUUACCAAGAACUUUGGAUGAUUGAACUUUGUUUGAACCCUUCAAAGUUGCCUUAGUCAACACUACAGCAAAGUUGCUAACAGUUAUGGUGGCCAUUUCUUUGAAAUUAAAAAAAAUCAAAAAGAAAAACUAGAAGAAAAAAAAAGAAAGGGUAAGAGUUAUGUUAUGUUUAUGCUAUUGUUAAUGAAAGUGGCAAAUAGUUCCCACUGGUUCAUGUUGUAAGAAUAGGGCAACAGGUGGCCACAAGGGAACCAUACAAAGUGGUGAACAAAAGCCAGGAAUUUUAUAUCCUUAAAUCCUUAAGGAACCAACCAUUUCCCUUCACUUGUCACUCUGAAUCAGUGAACAAGGUCCUACUUAUUAGUAAACUGAAUUUCUUGGCUCAAAUUUCAGAUAUUUUUCAGAUCAACAAUUUUUUUUUACACAAUGCAUAUUUCUAUCAAUAAUUUCCAAACAAUUAAAUUACAAUAUAAACACAUUCAAAUUCACUUUUGGAUUUCCU
RNAcentral lists this long non-coding RNA (2608 nucleotides) under Gossypium barbadense (sea-island cotton). Its description in RNAcentral is "long non-coding RNA (GBAR_LNC021103)". Lineage: Eukaryota; Viridiplantae; Streptophyta; Magnoliopsida; Malvales; Malvaceae. The record is from RNAcentral.